Beta vulgaris subsp. vulgaris (sugar beet) is the source of this 435-nucleotide long non-coding RNA. RefSeq lists it as uncharacterized. NCBI's taxonomy places the organism in Eukaryota, Viridiplantae, Streptophyta, Magnoliopsida, Caryophyllales, Amaranthaceae. The transcript has 3 exons. The record is from RefSeq and is a predicted model, not a curated record.
UUUGUGUUGCGCUGCUGCCUCGUGAUUGGCUUGCUUGCCUUGUUGCUGCCAUUAUUUUGGUAUUCCUUUCCAUAUGAAGUUGUUGGAGUAUGUAUAUGGAGAUAAUCUAUGAAGUUCGAGCUAUAGUUGGUUAUCCAAAAUGUCGAAUUAUUGGGAAUCGUUUAAAGGGUUCAUUGUUAGUGAUUUUGCAGGGUUGAUGUCGAGGUCGUGGAAUAUGAUUAUUGAUCAAGAAGAAGAGUUUUAUGUUAUGAAAUGGUGGGCUGAGGUUAAAGUUAGAUGUUUUGUUUCAAAGUAUUUGUAAUCUGUUAUUUGAUUUUCAAGUUGUUAUAUUGUGGGCCCCUGACCCACAGAUCCAGGAUCGUUUUUAUAGGUUUAGUUUCCGCUGUAAAUAAAUGUAAAUUCGAGAUUUGUUAAGUGUUGAUUGUGUUUUGUGUA